GCAUAUCAAUAAGCGGAGGAAAAGAAACCAACAGGGAUUGCCUCAGUAACGGCGAGUGAAGCGGCAACAGCUCAAAUUUGAAAUCUGGCCCUUUCAGGGUCCGAGUUGUAAUUUGGAGAAGAUGCUUCGGGUGUGGCCCCGGUCUAAGUUCCUUGGAACAGGACGUCAUAGAGGGUGAGAAUCCCGUACGUGACCGGUGGCCUCCCCCGUGUGAAGCUCUUUCGACGAGUCGAGUUGUUUGGGAAUGCAGCUCAAAAUGGGUGGUAAAUUUCAUCUAAAGCUAAAUAUUGGCCAGAGACCGAUAGCGCACAAGUAGAGUGAUCGAAAGAUGAAAAGCACUUUGGAAAGAGAGUUAAACAGUACGUGAAAUUGUUGAAAGGGAAGCGCUUGCAACCAGACUUGCGCGCGGCCGAUCAUCUGGUGUUCUCACCGGUGCACUCGGCCGCGCUCAGGCCAGCAUCGGUUUGGGUGGCUGGAUAAAGGCCUCGGGAAUGUGGCUCUCUUCGGGGAGUGUUAUAGCCCGAGGUGCAAUGCAGCCUACCCGGACCGAGGACCGCGCUUCGGCUAGGAUGCUGGCGUAAUGGUUGUAAGCGACCCGUCUUGAAACACGGACC
RNAcentral lists this ribosomal RNA (614 nucleotides) under Oidiodendron sp. JCM 28148. RNAcentral's name for it is "eukaryotic LSU rRNA". It matches the Rfam family "Eukaryotic large subunit ribosomal RNA", at positions 38 to 667 of the family's 3401-position model. Lineage: Eukaryota; Fungi; Ascomycota; Leotiomycetes; Myxotrichaceae. The record is from RNAcentral.